Molecule: non-coding RNA, 24 nt
Filed under: Arabidopsis thaliana (thale cress)
Lineage: Eukaryota; Viridiplantae; Streptophyta; Magnoliopsida; Brassicales; Brassicaceae
Source: RNAcentral
UGCAACCGUCGUCAUUGCUUGUCC